This 253-nucleotide ribosomal RNA is filed under the name uncultured bacterium. RNAcentral's name for it is "partial 16S ribosomal RNA". It matches the Rfam family "Bacterial small subunit ribosomal RNA", at positions 524 to 776 of the family's 1533-position model. The record is from RNAcentral.
UACGUAGGGGGCUAGCGUUGUCCGGAAUCAUUGGGCGUAAAGCGCGUGUAGGCGGCUUGCCAAGUCCGAUGUGAAAGCUCGGGGCUCAACCCCGAGUCUGCAUUGGAAACUGGCUUGCUUGAGUCCGGAAGAGGAGACUGGAAUUCCUGGUGUAGCGGUGAAAUGCGCAGAUAUCAGGAAGAACACCGGUGGCGAAGGCGGGUCUCUGGGACGGUACUGACGCUGAGACGCGAAAGCGUGGGGAGCAAACAGG